UACGUAGGGGGCAAGCGUUGUCCGGAAUCAUUGGGCGUAAAGCGCGCGUAGGUGGCCCGGUAAGUCCGCUGUAAAAGUCCAGGGCUCAACCCUGGAAAGCCGGUGGAUACUGUCGGGCUCGAGUCCGGAAGAGGCGAGUGGAAUUCCUGGUGUAGCGGUGGAAUGCGCAGAUAUCAGGAGGAACACCGAUGGCGAAGGCAGCUCGCUGGGACGGUACUGACACUGAGGCGCGAAAGCUAGGGGAGCGAACGGG
This 253-nucleotide ribosomal RNA is filed under the name uncultured bacterium. RNAcentral's name for it is "partial 16S ribosomal RNA". It matches the Rfam family "Bacterial small subunit ribosomal RNA", at positions 524 to 776 of the family's 1533-position model. The record is from RNAcentral.